RNAcentral lists this non-coding RNA (25 nucleotides) under Cricetulus griseus (Chinese hamster). Lineage: Eukaryota; Metazoa; Chordata; Mammalia; Rodentia; Cricetidae. The record is from RNAcentral.
CUCUGGGCUUCAGCUUAGUACAGGC